RNAcentral lists this ribosomal RNA (468 nucleotides) under uncultured bacterium. RNAcentral's name for it is "partial 16S ribosomal RNA". It matches the Rfam family "Bacterial small subunit ribosomal RNA", at positions 28 to 507 of the family's 1533-position model. The record is from RNAcentral.
GACGAACGCUGGCGGCGUGCUUAACACAUGCAAGUCGAACGGAAAGGCCCUGCUUUUGUGGGGUGCUCGAGUGGCGAACGGGUGAGUAACACGUGAGUAACCUGCCCUUGACUUUGGGAUAACUUCAGGAAACUGGGGCUAAUACCGGAUAGGAGCUCCUGCUGCAUGGUGGGGGUUGGAAAGUUUCGGCGGUUGGGGAUGGACUCGCGGCUUAUCAGCUUGUUGGUGGGGUAGUGGCUUACCAAGGCUUUGACGGGUAGCCGGCCUGAGAGGGUGACCGGCCACAUUGGGACUGAGAUACGGCCCGGACUCCUACGGGAGGCAGCAGUGGGGAAUAUUGCACAAUGGGCGGAAGCCUGAUGCAGCAACGCCGCGUGCGGGAUGACGGCCUUCGGGUUGUAAACCGCUUUCGCCUGUGACGAAGCGUGAGUGACGGUAAUGGGUAAAGAAGCACCGGCUAACUACGUG